UGGGGAAUCUUGCGCAAUGGCCGAAAGGCUGACGCAGCGACGCCGCGUGUGGGAUGAAGGUCUUCGGAUUGUAAACCACUGUCGGGAGGGACGAAGCUCUGACGGUACCUCCAAAGGAAGCACCGGCUAACUCUGUGCCAGCAGCCGCGGUAAUACAGAGGGUGCGAGCGUUGUCCGGAAUCACUGGGCGUAAAGGGCGCGUAGGCGGCCUGGUAAGUCGGGGGUGAAACGCUGCGGCUCAACCGCAGCACUGCCUUCGAGACUGCCGGGCUUGAGCACGGUAGAGGCUGGUGGAAUUCCCGGUGUAGCGGUGGAAUGCGUAGAGAUCGGGAAGAACAUCGGUGGCGAAGGCGGCCAGCUGGGCCGUUGCUGACGCUGAGGCGCGACAGCGUGGGGAGCAAACAGG
Molecule: ribosomal RNA, 406 nt
Filed under: bacterium
Lineage: Bacteria
Also listed under: 1 other name
Description: partial 16S ribosomal RNA
Rfam family: Bacterial small subunit ribosomal RNA
Source: RNAcentral